GAAGAAUGGGAUGUAUUCCAAGAAUUUUGGCUCAAUAUCAAAUGGAUCGCUGUUCAGAAGAAGUGAAUCAACUUGUUAUGCCUUUUAAUGCAAAUGUGAAGACUAUGAUUAACAAUCUUAAUGCCAAUCUUCCUGGUGCAAGAUUCACCUUCAUUGACAUUGCCCGCAUGUUUGAAGAUCUCCUCACCAAUUAUAGAUCAUACGGUAUGCAAUUUUCCCACUAAACAUAUCGUAUUGUAGUUAGAUAUGAUGUGUGCUGUCUAGCCUAAAAUCUUUUAUUUUAAAAUGUGCGGACACUGACAAAAGAUAAUAAAGAUUUCGUCCUCAUAUUUUAAAAUCAAGGAACAAUUUACAGUGGCUGAACUAGGAUUUUGAUUUGACAAGCACGGCCUAGAGGUGGAAAUAACGGAGAAAUUAUCGUCUUGUAGCCUUGCUAUGCUACAAUAAAAGCAAGACAUUUCAAAAUUAAAUUUAAAUAAGUGCAUAAAAUAAGCAAAAUUUUACUUAAUAGAAUAAUGUUUAUGAUCACUUUUUUUUAAUCCCAAAUAAUUCUACAGGAUUCAGUGUAAUAGAUCGAGGGUGCUGUGGCAUUGGACGAAACGGAGGCCAAAUUACAUGUCUUCCAUUCCAAACACCAUGUGCAAAUCGAGAACAAUACGUUUUCUGGGAUGCAUUUCACCCAACAGAAGCUGUGAACAUUAUGUUUGGAAGAAAAGCUUUCUAUGGUGACCAGAGCGUUGUUUAUCCCAUGAACAUCCAGCAGCUUGCCAGUUUUUAAACUUAGAAAUUAAAGGGACAUAUAUGUUAUUGUAAUGUUUCUUGCUUGCUUAAUUGCUUUGCAUAAUUAGCCACCGGUGUCUCGUCUGUCCAUGUGAGUUUUUACUUGUUUAAUUUGCUUGUGGGAAGUUUAUGUAAUCAAAGAACAAGUUGUGAUUGUGUUUUAUUGUGUUGCUAGUGGUUCAGUAAUUGGAACUACUUCGAUUAUGUUUUGGUAAUUGAUUUUGCUAGUUUACUAGUGCUUCAGUAGGAUUUUUCUUUUUUUAAAUUAUUAACUUAUGCAUCUAUUGAAAUCUGAACUCAAAACUUAAGCCCCAGAGAAAUUGCUUGUUACUGUUGGAAUUAGACUUGACUUUCGUAGUUUAUUAAUCAACUUGCUUGCUAGGUAGCCUUGCCAUAUGAUAUGGUUUGCUAUCUUAUGGGUGGUGAUGUUUCCCUUGCAAUAGCCCUCGCAUCUGUGUAAGGACAUCCAUCUAACUUCAUUGAUAUUUUUGGAAGUUAAACUUUCAUCCUUAAUUUGAAUGAUUGAAAGAUAAUAUAUAAUUUCAGCCUCGGUUGAUUAAAAAAGGGUAGAUUUAAAAGAGAGAUUGAUUCAAAACGAUUAAAUUAAACGUUCAAAUUUUUUUAUAAAAAAUGCAAGAUAUCCGCAAACUGUCUAAAAUACAAUCCUUUAAUAAAUAAUAUUUUAAAUAAGGAGAUUAUGGGUGGACCAAAAGUCCAUGUACCAAGCCCAAGCAAACGCGCAGAUUUAACAACCUGUUUGGAGCAGCUGUGUUACCAAAUUAUUUAUAGGUUUGGGUGGGUUACAAACAGUGGCGAAGCUUGCAUCAUUUGUUUGGGUGGGCUAGAUUUAAACAAAAAAAUGAAAUUUACUUCUCAAAAAAUUUGUUUUAUAUAAAUGAAAUUAAGCACACUACAUAAGUAAAAAUUUAACCAUAAAACUAUAAAAAUACAAUGUAAAUAAGAAAAACACUAUUGACGAAGCUGUGUCCUGCGAUUCUUCAAAAAAGAAAAUUCAUCUACUAUCGCAUCUGAGUCAAUAUUGUCUGCAAUUUCUCUUUCAAUGUAAAUAACCAUACAAUCUGAAAGAAACUCAUUCUCCAUCUUGUUUCGAUGUGUUNNNNNNNNNNNNNNNNNNNNNNNNNNNNNNNNNNNNNNNNNNNNNNNNNNNNNNNNNNNNNNNNNNNNNNNNNNNNNNNNNNNNNNNNNNNNAAGAAGACGAUGGCGAUACCACAAAAUGCACCUACCCACUCAAUUUCUCAACGCAAUCGGUAACCAAUACGUUGGGAAGACGAUGGCAAGAUGACGAUGGUUGAUUUUGGUAAGAUGAUGGCAAAAAGAAAGUCAAUAUAAGAGGGUAAGACGAUGGCAAGAUGACGACGGCCGAGAUUUUAGCCUUACCCUAAACUCUCUGUAUGUUUGUGAGUUGUAUGUGUUGAUACUUAUAAAAAAUUAGGGAUUGAAGAAGUGAAACUCAGCACCAAAACGGUGCGUUUCAUUUUUUUAAUUUUAUUUUAUAAUAAAAAGUUUUAAAAAUAUAAUAUUUUAUAUUUAUGUACAAAACGUCGUCGUUCCAACUUCGCUAAAACGACGACGUCUCUUCCUUCGUGUAAUAUUUUAUUUUAAAUAACACCAAAAGUUUCGGUAAAAAACGCGCCAAAAUUAAGUCAACGUUAAAUUUCUAUUCAGACUUAUUGACGUUUAAAUUUAUAUCACAAAGACAUCAUAUAUUCUUGACUGACUCUUUUUCUAUCACGAGUCCAUCACAAAUCCAUCAUGAAUAUAUGAUAACCAAAAAUAUAUCACAACUAUAUCAUGCUUUUAUGACCCAUGCAGAAUCCGUCAACAAGCGUGUGUCAUCUAUUGCCAGUUUUCUUGUAGUGUCUACCAACUUCCCAAGAACUUUACGAACAACACUAAACAAAUCAAGCAACCUACUGACAGAACGGAAAUGAGAGCUCCACCGAGUAGCUCCAGGCCGUUGCAAAGUAUGAAUUUGAUUGGCCCCUGUACCAGUUUGAACUUCUCCUGAAGCUAUCAAAUCUAUUAUUUCUGCUUCCCAAACAGAUUUUAACUCAGAAAGCCGUUUAGCAGAUGAAGUCAGAACAUUUACAAUUGAACCCAAUGCUGAAAAGAAAAGCCAUACAUCUGGCACAUCAUUAGAUGCUGCAACUAAAGCAAGUUGUAGUUGAUGUGCAAAACAGUGUAUAUAAUAUGCAUAUGGGCAAUCUUUCAAAAAUAAUGCUUGCAAUCCAUUCCAUGCACCUCGCAUGUUACUAGCACCAUCAUACCCUUGCCCUCGGAUAUUUUCAACUAAAAGAUCAUAUCGUGCAAGAACAUUACAUAUUUCUUUUUUCAAUGUUACUGCUGUAGUUUCCAUGACAUUGACAACUUCAAAAAAACGUUCUCGAAUAUACCCAUCACAAUCAACAUACCUUAAAAUAAUAGCCAUUUGCUCUUUAUCAGAUUCAUCAAGUGCUUCAUCUACUAAAAUACAAAACUUACCAUCUCCAAGUUCCCUGUGUAUCUUGUUUCGCACUUUGUUUGCAAGAAUAUUUAAAAGCUCUUUUUGAAUGUCAGACGAUGUAUACUUAGCAUAUGAUGGAGCAUUUUCCAAGACAACUUGAGCAAUUUCUUUACUAUACUCCGCUGAAUGCUUUAUCAACUCUAUGAAAUUUCCCCGAUUUCUUGAAUUAACUGAUUCAUCAUGACCUCUAAAAGCACAUGCUUGCUUUGCUAACCAUUUAACAGCAAUAAUUGAAGUCUUCAAUCGUAACCUAUUCUCCAAAAGUUGUUGUGAAGUUUGGGCAUUAAUUAAUCUAUCAAUGUGUUGAAUUGGGUUCCUCAAACAACCCCAACUUUGCAUAUUCUUAUUAUGAUGAGAAGAUGGACCCCCUUCAUGCUGUAAAAAAGGACAUUUUUUUCCAUUGUCGACUCUCUUCCAACUAGAAAACCCUUCAAUAACAAAUUUUGGGUUGUUUGAUGGAAUUUCAUAAAAAAGAAAGCAUGGAAAACAAAAUGCACUAUCUUUUACCUCAGAGUACUCAAGCCAUGGAAAUUUUUUAAACCAGUGAUACUGAAACCUACGUUCUUGCAUGCCAUCAUUAGUUAGUGGAUAGUCUCGUAGUUUAGGCUGAUAAGGUCCCAUUUUGAUGUACUCCCUUCAAAUAUCAUCACGUUGAUUUACUGAAUAUGUCCCUAUUUGAUGACGUAAUCUAGGAUCACGCUCCAGAUAAGUAUUUCUAGUUUCUUCAACUUCAACCCUUUGAAACUUGGAAGCAUGUUGCUCACUAGAAUCUUGAGCAUUAACUUGACAUGGAGAUAAAGACUUGGUGGAUGAUUGAUUUUCACCUACUCUCUUAAAAAAAGAAAGUAGAGUUUUUCUUGGUUUAUUUAUCAUUGAAUCUGUAAUAAAAUACAUUAAAAAUUUAGUAUUUAUUUUAUAAAAAAUUGACAAAACCGUAAGUUAAAAGCUAAUUAAAAAAAGUCAGCAUUCAAAUUAAUUAUUUUACUAUUUUGAUCACUUAUUCUUUCAUGCCAUCAUUAUUUUAUAAUCCCAAGAAGAUGAAUCAGCACCUUUUACAAGUUCCACUUUAUAUGCUAUCAUCAUUAUUUGUCAUAUUCUAUUAUUUUAUAAUUUUAGAAAGAUGAAUCACAGUUCUCAGUUCACAAAAUCGACAACUUCUCUUCCACAAUUCCACUUUGUGUGCCAACCAUCAUUAUCAUAAAAUCAUAUUAUAUUCUGUAAACUAAAGUUUAAAAGGCAAAGUGCUUUGUACCAGCGGUUGCAUCAAGAGACUGGGCAUUCGGCGUUGGCUCGGCGGUGAGAGAUUUAGCCUCCGGGUGCGGGUCUUGCGACAGUGGCUCGGCAUCACUCAUGAGGCAGUGGCUGGGCAUCAAUUCGAGCGCAGGAGACUGGGUAUUCAGCAGCAGUAAGAGACUUGAGCAAUUGAAUUUUGGUGAAUUUCAAAUUCGUAUUUAGUUACUAGUGAGUUUUAUGAAUUGUGAUUUGGGGAAAAUAAGGAUUCCUAUAAUUAUUAGGUUUGUUUUUUUUUAUAAAUAUUAAUAAAAAUAAAUUUAUAAAUUAUAAUUUUUUUUUUCAAAAAGCUUACCCGGGCUGCAGCCCGGGUUAGCCUUCCCUGAGCUUCGCCUCUGGUUACAAAAACUCAAUCACAAAAAUAAAUCGUAAAACCCGUUUUAGAAUUGUAUCCUUCUUUAAAAUUACACUAUAGGACAAAAUUAAAUCUCGUUAAACCCAGCUUAAACAAUUCUUUCACCGAUAAUUUUUCUCCUGUACACAUUUACUUGUGUUAUCUUAAAGUUUACAUGAAAAUUAUUGAACCUCAAAAUACAACUACAGAAAAAUCUCAAAAGUCCGUAACAACCCUGUCAAAAAUCAAAAUAGGGACCUUGCUAGAAGAUCAUUCCCCGUCAAAUUCCCUUGAAACUUGAGUGGAUAUAUGAUCGAGCAAAAUAGAGAAAAAAAAAUCAGUUUCAGCUUUAAAGUUGUUGUGAACUAGGUACUUAGAGGAGUGCCAAUAGUCCAACUUAGUUCAUAUUUAUUUAGAUUUGAGAUGAAAAAAUAAAUGCCACAAAAUAAACUUAAAUGUUGAAAACUAAUUCUAACCCAACCUGAAUAGAUUUUUAUUGGAAUUUUUUGGUUUAAGUUACUCCAUGGUUUUAGAGUGGAGCUUCUAACAUCCCAUUAAAACUCUUAAGAAACACUACUUAUUCAUUUUUAUAUCUAUUUUUUAUGAAAUUACAAAAAAGUCUACAGGAUUACAAUAGAGUUUUAAUUAAACUUCAGUAUCGGUUGUUCUCUUUUGGAGGUAAGCUAGUACUCAUUCGGCAUGUGCUUUCAUCUAUGUCGCUUCAUCUUUUUCAUGUCCUACGGCCGCCUGCUACGGUCAUUCAGAUCCUUGAGAGGUUAUUUACAAGAUUCUUAUGGAGUGAUACGGAUUCUCGGUAGCGCAUUCAUUGGUGCAAAUGGCCAUCUGUCUGUUUUCCAGUGGCGGAGGGUGGUCUUGGAGUUCGUUCCUUUUCUAAUUUGGCCGAUGCUUUCGAGAUGAAGCGAUGGUGGCGAUUACGGGACCAACACUCACUUUGGGCUUCUUUCAUGAAAUCUAAAUAUUGUAGAAUUGAGCAUCCAAGUAUGGUUCAAUUUCGCUAUCUUGCAUCUCUUCUGUGGAGAAGAUUAUGAUCUAUUCGUUGUAUUGUUGAACCUCAUAUUCGUUGACUGGUUAGAUUGGGUGAUAGUAGUUUCUGGUAUGAUUGCUAGCUUGAAUCUACGCCUCUCUUUCAUUUUAAUCCUUCAGUAGCUUCUAUGGCCCCAAUAUCUUCUUUUUGGUGUGGUGUGGAUUGGGAGAAGGGGAAGCUUUUAUCAGUACUGCCAUCUUUAGUUGUUGAACAAAUUUUGUUAGUACCUAUUUCUGGUACUGGGCCAGAUAUACUUUGUUUGGCAAUAUUUAGGGAUGGGAAUUUUUCUCUAAGGAAUAAUUGGGAAUUUGUACGUGGAUCCCGUAGCCAGAAUGAGGUUUUUUCUUUAAUUUGGCAACGACAUAUUCCUUCGCGGGUUUCCUUUUUCUUGUGGUGUUUAUUGAAUGGUUUCUUGGCCACGGAUGAUGCUUUGUACUUGAGGGGUUUUCACAUGGUUUUUCGAUGUCUUUGUAAUUGAGAUGUUGAGAUUGUCAGACACUUAUUUUUGGAUUGUCCAGUGGUUCAACAGGUUUGGCGGUGGUUUUACUCAAUGAUUGGUUGUCCGUAUCUUCCUUUUUUGUCUCUUCAUGCUCUGCUCAGUCACUGAUGAUAGUGUUGCCGUUCUUCAAAACAUAUUGAGUCAUUCUCCCAUGUUUCAUUCUAUGGCAUGUUUGGAAGGCUCGAAACACUCUCAGGUAUGAUUCAGUUGCCUUUAAUGUGAACGUUGUUAUUUUUAGAGUGCUCGUGGAUAUUAGGCUAGUCAGUGAUGCGUUUGGUUUCAAGACAUCUUAGUUGAGGGGCAUUUUGGACAUUCAGAUUGGGAAAGGGAUUGAGGAUGAUCAUGCCUCCCCGUAGACCACCGCGAUUGGUUUCUUGGAUGAAAUCAUCACCGGAGGUGGUGAAGUUAAGUGUGGAUGGUUGUUCUAGGGGAAACCCAGGUAUUGCUACUACUGGUGGUGUUUUACGAGAUCAUCAAGACGUGACAUUAGCUGCUUUUGGUUCUUUUUUGGUGCACCAAUCUAUUCCUUUUGCUGAAUUGAUGGCUCUGUUAGAGGGUUCAGAUCUUGCUGCUCAGCUUGGUUUUUCUGAUCUUGAGGUAGAAUCUGAUUUAGCGACUGUAGUUUCUUGGGCUAUUUCAAGUGGUUUUGUGCGAUGGGAUUUUAUUUACCUCCUUGGGCGUGUUCGGGCAUUGGCUUCUAGCCUAUCUAUUAUUAUUAGGCAUAUUUUUCGAGAAGCUACAUUUGCUGCUGACUUUAUGGCCAAUUGGGCUUGUACUCAUCAGACUUGUCAACGAUUUUUCAAUCCUGGUGAUCUUCCAAACAAUUUAUUAGGCAUUUUUCAUUUGGAUACUCUCAUAAUUCCAUACAUUCGGCAUUAAUCACCUUGAUUUGAAUUGGUUUUAUUUGAUCACUAAAUUAUUUGCUUUCCUGGGAGAUUUUGGUUUAUGUCCCUUUCCUUAUGUUCUUUCAUUGAUUGAUUUAUUUACAGGUAGGGGUCUGGCCUAACCCCCCACUAUCUUGGUGGAUUAUUAAAAAAAUUAUUAUUAUUAUUAGGUAAUUUAUUUCGUCAUUAUAUCAAAAUUAAUUUUGACUUUAUCAAACAAAUAAGGUUUAAAAAAUAGUUAGGGUUUAUGAUUUAUAAAGACAUUUUAGUUUGAUUAAAUUCUUAUUUUUUCUUUAGGUAAUUUCUAAGAAUAUUAAAGGGGUGUGAACAACAGUAAUCAUGAUUAAAUUAGAUUGAAACUUUUUCAACGCAAGUACAUUUGGAAUUGAUUGGGUUAAUCCCAACAUUCGCCCACCCCUAAAAUGGCUUUAUAUAUAAUCAUUAUUAUGAAAAAUAUCAUGAUAGCUUCAACUCUUAACUGAACUUUUUGGUUGAGAGAGGCUUACAUCACUCAACAUGUAUUAAUAUUCAAUACUAGAAGAGAAGCUUUAUCUAGAUUGGUAUAUUUACUAAAUAAUACUAUAAAAUAUAAAAGUUUUAAUGGCGUGUAUCAAACAUGGUGUACUUCCAUCACUAUCUUAAGAGUGGUGAUUUUUUAUCGCUUAUUGUAUCACACAAACCCCCAUUUUUCAGUUAAUUACUUUAAAAAUUUUAAACAAAUUUUUAUCUCUCAAUAUACCUUACCUAAUCUCUAUUUUACCCUUAUUUUAAUUUUUUUUAAUACACCCAUCGUAUAAAAUUUGUAAAAUCAUUUCUUAGAAAAAAAAAUCUCUCAUAAUCAUUGUAAUUUCUCAACUUUUUUUAAAGAUUUUAUCCAUCACUUAAGAUUUGAUAGUUGCACCAAGAAUUGGAGUAAGAACUAUUAAGUUUUAUACGAAUCUGUGAUAUUGUUUGGUUAACGAGAAAAUAAGAAGAAGAGAAAUCUUUUGUAAGCUAAAAUUUUUGUUCUAUUGAUCUUGAUGAAUCUGGAAAUUACAAGGCUUUUUAUAUGUGUUUGGAAGAUUCUACACACAUCACAUGCACACACAGUUCACUGCUAAUAACCUCUAUAACAAAUUAUAACAAACUUUAGCUGACUCAGCUGCCAUGUCAGCAUACUCAUUAACUAACUAAUUCUAUACUUAACAUCCCCCCUCAAGUUUAAGGUCUCGGAAGAACAUUAAGCUUGUUACGCAAAUAAGCAAACUGAUCAUAGGCUAAAGGCUUGGUAAGAAUAUCUGCUAUUUGAUCAAAGCUGGGAACAUGAUCAAUAGAAAGUUCAUGCUUGGCUAUAUGGUCUCGAACAAAAUGAAGAUCAAGUUCUAUAUGUUUGGUGCGUGAAUGGUACUUUAGAUUACUAGCUAAUGCUUCAGCACUCUUAUUGUCACAAUAUAGAACAAGAAGCUUGAGCAAGGAAACCUUGAGUUCUUUUAACAGAUAAGUGAUCCAAAGCAUCUCAGAAAUAGCAAGUGCAAGUGCCCUGUACUUAGACUUUACUAUUGAUCUAGAGACAAUAGGUUGCUUCUUUGAGGACCAUAAGACUAGAUUGUUGCCAAGAAAUACACAAUAACCACCAAUUGGAUUUUCUAUCAUUAGGGUCUGAUCCCCAAUCAACAUCAGAAUAAGCAUUUAGAAUGAGAGAACCUGAAUUAAGAAAUUGAAGUCCAAAGUUUGCUAUGCUCUGUAGAUACCUCAGAACCCUCUUACAAGCUUGCCAAUGAAGGACAGUAGGUGCAGCAAGAAAUUGGCUCAACUUGUUCACUGAAAAGGCAAUAUCAGGCCUUGUUAAAUGAUGUGCUCAUAUUUAUCUAUUAUUUUAAUACUUCCAUAACUUAAUUUUAUGUUAAAUUAUAUUUUAUUAUGUUAAUUUUAUCUUAAUUUUUAUAUUUUCUUAUUUUAGGUAGAAUAUGGGAUUAAAGAAGAAUAAAAUCGGAACAUUCAGGAGGAAGUCCACUUAAAGGAAUCAAAAAGGGAAAGAAAUAAAGAGAAUUAAUUGGAACAAAUCACAAAGGAUUUAAUUUAAUUAAUCAUUAAGCAUGCAUGCACGUGAGGAAGCAUUGAAGAAUUCAUUUACAAAGAGAAUAUGGCAAGUCACGUGGAUGGGCUUUGGUUUCAAUUCUGAUUGGCUUAGGAAUGAAACAGGCGGCUGGGUUUUUGCUUUUAAUUCUUUUCAUAAGAGGAUUUUACAAGCCACAACAUUAUAAAAAGGGAAAAGCCAAGCGGAAGCAAAAGGGAGACAAGAAGGCAGCCGCACAACAACUGAAAAUAGGAGAGAAAACCGAGAGCAAGAAAAGAACAAGAGAAGCCGCUAUAAAUCCGGGAGCAACAAUUUGGAGAAGUUAAUUGCAGAGAUUGGAGAGAGAUAGCUUCUUGAGUUUUUCUUUCUCUCUUCUCUAUUAUCUUACUUGAAUGUUUCCCAUUAAAUUCAUAGAUUCUCUAUAUUCCCAUGAACUAAUUUAUUUACUAGGGCUACGAUGUAGCCUAACUAUGAAGAUUUAAUUCCAUAAAUUUAUGUUAUUUUUAAUUUAUUAUUUCAUGGUUGAGUGUUCAUUAUUGUGCUUAAUGCUUUUAAAUAUCUGGCCAAUAUUUGAAUGAUUUGAGGAUACAUAAUGAGACCGAGAGGAGAUUUAUGUAUUUUUGCUCUGUGUAAUGGAUGCCAUGAAUUGAACGAAAGACAGAGAUGUGCCAACGUGAUUUGCGCAGUUUUUUUAAGAAUUUCCAUGGAGCUUAAUGAAUCUUUACAUAUUUAAAUUCACAUAGAGAUAUAGUGGGUUAAUGUGUGAAGGUAUUUUUAAUAUUACUCGAGAGAGGAUAUUGAAUGGAUUAGGGAAAUUCACUGUCAACAUGGGUAGUAAAUUUUAAUAGCAUAGAUAGAGGAUUAAAUUGGAUUGGUUAUGGUGAAAUCGGAUGUCUUAGUGUCUUAAUCUCUUGGUGAUUUCUAUUACUGCCUGCGUCUUUAUUUAAUUUUAAUUAUUUAAUUUUAUUUAAUUUUAAUCUAAAUUCGCUUAUUCGAUUGUUCAAAUAAAUUAGGAUUAGAAUAAUUUCGGUAACUAAUAGGAUAUACAAUCUCUGUGGGACAAUACUCUACUCUUCAUUAUAUUACUUGUGCCGACUAGUACACUUGCUAAUUUACGCAACAUUAAAGUCACAUACUGAAGAGAGCCAAUAUGCUUUUGUAGAGGGAAGGAUUCUCGAAUAGGACUCUAUUUUCUUUCUUUAACUUUUCAGUUGUACUCAUGGGUGUGUUAUAGCCCUUGUUGUCUAACAUGUGUGCCUUUUGAAGAAUAUCACUAAUAUAUUUAGUUUGAGAGAGAUGUAAACCAUCUAGGCUAGGAUUUACUUCUAUGCCAAGAAAAUAAUUGAAUUCUCCCAAGUCUUUGAGGUCAUAAGUAGAGCCAAGCUUACUGAUUACCCCCUCUACAUGCUGUAUAUUUGAUCCAGUGAUAAGUAUGUCAUCCACAUAAAUCAGAAUAACCAAAAUUUCAAUACCAGCAUGUUUAAUAAAUAGAGAAGUAUCAGACUUUGAGUUUGAAAACCCCAUUGCAUUAAUGAACCUUUCAGCUGAUCAUACCAAGCCCUUGGAGCUUGUUUGAGACCAUAUAAAGCCUUGUUUAACUUGCAAACAUGAGAAGGAAAUCUAGAAUCAAUUAAGCCCUUCGGUUAGUGCAUAUAUACAUCUUCAAUAAGUACUCUAUUCAAGAAGGCAUUGUUGAUGUCCAGCUGCCUGAUAGUCCAGUGUUGCACCACUGCUAAACUGAGAAUAAUCCUUAAUGUACAAGGCUUUACAGCAGGGCUAAAAGUUUCAAAGAAAUCCACUCCAUGUGUCGGGUGAAAACCUUUAGCAACCAGGCAUGCCUUAUACUUAGAAAUGCUUCCAUUUAAGUUGUAUUUAAUUCUGAAAAUCCAUUUGUUACCUAUAAUCUUGGUGGCUGAAUAAGAAUGAACCAGAGUCCAUGUAUGGUUUCUAUGCAAAGCAUCUAUCUCUUCUUUCAUAGCCAUAUACCACUUCUGACUAGAUAGGGUUGUUUUGACACUUGUUGGUUCUAUGUCCUGAGUUGCUGCUAGAUAAGUUUUGGGUUUGAAUAUUCCAGAUUUUGCUUUAGUAACCAUAAGGUGUUUAGAUGUUGAAGGUAUGGAAGAAAUAUAUGAGGUAUUUGUUGGUGUUGGAGGAUGGCUUAAGGCUAGACUUGGCUCAGGGGCAGCAACAUGGAGUUAAGUUUCACUUCUUGGUUCUAAAAUUGUUAUAGAUGGUGCAACUACAUUACUGUCAUCAAGAUGAGGAUUUGAGAGAGAAAAAUGAGUGAAAGACUGACUUGCAGGGGUGACACAUUUUACUGGAAUAUAAGUAGAGUUGUGAACAGAAAACAACUCUGAAUAUGGAAAUUCAGACUCAUUUAACAUAACAUGUCUAGCAAUGUAAAUUCUACCUGAUUUGUCUAGACACUUAUAACCUUCAUGCAUAGGGCUGUAGCGAAUAAAGACACAUUUUUGUGUAUGAAAAUCUAACUUGUGUUGUUGUAAGGUCUUAACAGUGGAAAGCAUGAGUAGCCAAAGACUUUGAGAAACUAAUAAUCAGGUAAUUGAUUAUGCAGCUUUUGAUAAGGUGUUUUAUUGUUUAGGAUUGGUGAAUGUAUCCUAUUUAUCAAAUAAGAUGUUGUGUGAAAAGCUUCCCACCAAAAGGUAAGUGGUAGAUUUACUUGAGCAAGAAGGGUAAGACCAGUUUCAACAAUGUGUUUGUGUUUUUUUUCCAAAACUCCAUUUUUAUGAAGUGUAUAGGGACAACUAAAUCUGAGAUGUAUCCCUUGUUGUUGAAAAAAGGAUCCAAAUGCUCUAAAUUUACCCUCCAUGUCUAAUUGUAUGGUUUUAAUGGAUAAAGAGAAUUGUUUUUCAACAAGGAGUUUAAACGUGUCUAAUGCUUCUUAUUUUAAGGUGAGAGGAAAUAUCCAACAAUAUCUGGUAAAGUUAUCUACAAAAGAUAUGUAAUAUUUAUAUCCAUCUUUGGAUGGCAUUGAUGCUGGCCCCCAAAGAUCAUCAUGUAUCAAUUCAAGUAGUGCUCUGGUUUUUAUUUCGGUUACAGAAAAAUGAAAUUGAUGUAGCUUCCCAUAUUGACAGGCAUCACAAAAACUAAGAGAAUGUGUAUUGACAACAUGUGAAGGUUGAGUCUAUAAAAUGAUUUGCAUAGCAUGUUUAUUAGGAUGACCAAGCCUAUUAUGUAACAAUUGCAUUGAGAUACAGCUUGAAUAUUGACACUUGCAGGAGGAUUAUUGAAAGAAACUGAAUCAACAGACACUGACUUGACAGACUCUGUAAUAGAGUUUACAAUUUUAUUUGAAACAACAGACAUCAUUGAACUUGGUUUAAAGACUUGUACUUCAAAAUUUGAGAGGAAAUCAUCUUGAGACAGUAGUUUGUAGAGACCCCCUUUAGCAAUUCCCUGUGCUAGUAAUGUCCCCUUCACCUUGUCCUUUACAAAACAACAAUAAGAGGAAAAUUCUAUUAUAACAUUGUUAUUAGAAAGGAGCUUGGACACACUGAUGAGAUUUUUUGUUAUAUGGGGCACACAUAGCAUGUCAGUAAGAUGCAAUAUAGCUCUAAGUGAUGUAUAAAAACAUGUAUAACCAAUAUGAGUAAUAGAGAGGCCUUUAGCAUCACCAACUAGUAGCAUCUCAGAACUAGAAUAAGACUUACCAUCAGUCAAAUUUUGGACAGCAUUUGUGAGAUGAUGAGUGGCUCCAUUGUCUAAGUACCAGCCUUGAUCAGCAACUCCUUCUGAUGUCACCAUGUAUGCAGCUCUUGGACCUUGAUUUUGAGGUGGAAAGGAACCUUGAACUGGAGGAUUUGGCAUAAAGUUUCUAUUGAACCUAUCCCUGCACUCAAUAGCUGAAUGAUUUGGCUUGAAACAAAUCUGACAUAUAAUACCUCUGCCACCUCCUCUUCCAGAACCAUUAAAACUAGCAGCAAAACUGAAAUUCUAGUUAUGCAACCUAAGAGGGGAGGGGGUGAAUUGGGAUUUUAAAAAUUAAGCUAAGCAAAUCACACAACAAUUUAAUCUAAUGCCUUAAUGGAAUCAAAAAUAAUAAAUUCAAUAAAGCACAAUAAUAAAGGAGUAAGGGAAUAGAGAGCAAACACAAUGAUUUUUACGUGGUUCGGCAAUCCCCGCCUACGUCCACGCCUCCAAGCUCACCGGGCUUGAGGAUUUCACUAAGCAAGCCUCCAAGGCUUCAAAUGCUUACAAUUGACUUCCACAGUGUUAAUGGACCUUCACAAUAAGAGAUUAUCCCCAAUCUCUUAACCCAAGUGUAUCACAACACUUACAAUCUUUUAACUUGAUUUUACAAAAAAGAUUACAAAUGAAUUUCUCUCACACAAUGUGUUUGAUCACAAAUGAAAGCUCAAUGUGUGAAUGAAUUAGAUGAAUACAAGGAUUUAAAGCUCAAUGAAAGUUGUAUUCUCAAUAUUUUACUCAAUAAUGAUCGUUAGAAUUCUUCUUGUUUGAAUUGGAUUGAACUUAUUUAUAGUUGGAGCUGAAAACUAGCCGUUAUUGACUUUCUGCUCACUGUCGGAUCGUCGCUAACUAGAUGUCGGAUCGCCGUUUGACUAGUCAAUAUGACCGUUGGGCUGAAUGUUCAAAUUGUUGGAUCGUCGUUUUAUAGAUGUUGGAUCGCCGUUAGUGUCCAGAGGCUAAUCUUUCAAUUCAGUGCAAUAUCGGUUAACCGUUAUCUAGAUGUCGGAUCGCCGUUAGUGUCCAGAGGCUAAUCUUCAAUUCUGUCAAAUGUCAGCGAGCCGUUAUCAAGAUGUCGAAUCGUCGUUUUCUACAGUAACUGCUACAGUGAAUUAUUUUGUAAAAUAACAGUUUGACCCCAAAACUUUAUAUAACUGUACUAUGGCCCAAAACGUUAUACAUUUAGCAAAUAAGUCCAAUUUUAGAAUUUCUAAAUAAUGCUUACUAUUCCCAAAUUUUUUUGAAAUUAUGAUAUAACCCAAAAUGCUAUGAAUACUUUUCAAAUAAAUCCUUCUCCAAAAUUUCAAGCAAUACUUGUUGAUUUCAAAGUUUUCAAAACUCUUUCAAUUAAACCAUAAACUUGAAAAACAAAUAAUUUCAUAAAAUUAUUUUUCCAUUAAAUAUAAAACCUUUAAAAUGUGAAAAUAAUAAUUUAUUUAAAAUGUAUAAAAAUAAUUUGAGCUUUUAAAAACUAAAUCAUUCUUAAUUUUGUUUGUUAUCAUCAAAAUUAAUAUUAUGGAUACAUAUAUGCUAACAAAAACCAUUACCAUUAAAUCCAGCAAAGCCACCUCUGCCUUGAUUACCUCCCUAAUUUCCAUUCCAUUGUCCCCUUCUAGCACCAUAUCCUACAUAAAAAAUAUGUGAUAUUACAGACACAUUAACACAUUAAUAUCACAAAAAAUCUGAUUCUCCAUUUUAAUUUACUGACAUGCUAUGUGUUCUCCAUAUAACAAAAAAUCUCAUCAGUGUGUCCAAGCUCCUUUCUAAUAAUAAUGUUAUCCAUGCCAAGUCGGUCCUGAAUAACCUUAGUAUCGUGCUAAGUCUCUCAACCCAAAGUUGAGUGAAGCAAUACAAGGAGUUGGACGUGAUAAAGAUAGAGAUUUUUUAUUAUGAUAAUUGAUUUGGAACAAAAAAGGGGAUUCUUGAUUUCCUUUUGUAAGCAUCCGGAUCUUGUAUUGAAGUUUAUCUGUUCAUGGACCAGAAUGCAUUGCAUUUAGAAAGUGUUUGCAAUUGUAAAGUGAUAUUACUUGGAUAGUAACUUGUCGUUGCAGUGCAUUUACAGAACGAAUGAAAUUUUGGAAUCGUGAUGGAAAAUGCUGUCAGAUAUCUAUCUGAGAAUGAAAGCACUCGCUGUCAGUCUCUAUGGGAUUGCAGUAUAAAAUUUUACGUUAUUCAAUAUUUUGAAUAGAAUGACUUAUUUUGAAUGGAAUGGACUAGCUUAAAAAGUAAAAAAAAAAUUAGAGUUUAAGAAAUCACAUUAGCUUAAUUAGUUAUUAAUAAAAAAUUUUAUACGGGUACACUUAAAAACUAUUUAUUCUUUUAAAUAAUUUCACAUGAGGAUAAAAUAAGUAUUUAUAUAAAAAUUAUUAAUGGAGUUGGUAAAAUAUAAUAAGGGAUUUAAAUAUCACCACUCUACCCAUAGAGCAGCCCAAAAACGAUCUCAUGGGACCUGACUCAUUGAACGAGGACCCUUAAAAUUUGAACCUACCUUGACUCACACGAUAGGCUGAACAGGUCAGUAGCAUAUAUUUAAUAAUUAAUAUUAUGUUAUUAAUAUAGCAAGUAAAUCUUGAUGCCAUCAAGAUAAAACAUAAACAAAAAAAUAAAUUGAUAUUCAUGUGCAUGUCUAAUGCUUUAUUUAUAUAAGAUUAUAAUUCUCUUUUCAUCUGAGUUUUUAUUUGAGCAAAUACAGUUAUUGGUAGUUAACAUAUAGAAGCACAGUAGGUAUAUCUUGGCCGUGCGCAGGUACAUGUCGAAAGAUAAUGAUAAAAAAGUUCCUUCAGAAUUCAUGGGCAUGCACGCACGCUACUUGUGGAACUCCAUAACCCAUAAAUUGAAAAAAAAGCAAUCAAAUCUGACGUGCAAUAUCGGUUAACCGUUAUCUAGAUGUCGGAUCGCCGUUAGUGUCCAGAGGCUAAUCUUUCAAUUCAGUGCAAUAUCGGUUAACCGUUAUCUAGAUGUCGGAUCGCCGUUAGUGUCCAGAGGCUAAUCUUUCAAUUCAGUGCAAUAUCGGUUAACCGUUAUCUAGAUGUCGGAUCGCCGUUAGUGUCCAGAGGCUAAUCUUUCAAUUCAGUGCAAUAUCGGUUAACCGUUAUCUAGAUGUCGGAUCGCCGUUAGUGUCCAGAGGCUAAUCUUUCAAUUCAGUGCAAUAUCGGUUAACCGUUAUCUAGAUGUCGGAUCGCCGUUAGUGUCCAGAGGCUAAUCUUUCAAUUCAGUGCAAUAUCGGUUAACCGUUAUCUAGAUGUCGGAUCGCCGUUAGUGUCCAGAGGCUAAUCUUUCAAUUCAGUGCAAUAUCGGUUAACCGUUAUCUAGAUGUCGGAUCGCCGUUAGUGUCCAGAGGCUAAUCUUUCAAUUCAGUGCAAUAUCGGUUAACCGUUAUCUAGAUGUCGGAUCGCCGUUAGUGUCCAGAGGCUAAUCUUUCAAUUCAGUGCAAUAUCGGUUAACCGUUAUCUAGAUGUCGGAUCGCCGUUAGUGUCCAGAGGCUAAUCUUUCAAUUCAGUGCAAUAUCGGUUAACCGUUAUCUAGAUGUCGGAUCGCCGUUAGUGUCCAGAGGCUAAUCUUUCAAUUCAGUGCAAUAUCGGUUAACCGUUAUCUAGAUGUCGGAUCGCCGUUAGUGUCCAGAGGCUAAUCUUUCAAUUCAGUGCAAUAUCGGUUAACCGUUAUCUAGAUGUCGGAUCGCCGUUAGUGUCCAGAGGCUAAUCUUUCAAUUCAGUGCAAUAUCGGUUAACCGUUAUCUAGAUGUCGGAUCGCCGUUAGUGUCCAGAGGCUAAUCUUUCAAUUCAGUGCAAUAUCGGUUAACCGUUAUCUAGAUGUCGGAUCGCCGUUAGUGUCCAGAGGCUAAUCUUUCAAUUCAGUGCAAUAUCGGUUAACCGUUAUCUAGAUGUCGGAUCGCCGUUAGUGUCCAGAGGCUAAUCUUUCAAUUCAGUGCAAUAUCGGUUAACCGUUAUCUAGAUGUCGGAUCGCCGUUAGUGUCCAGAGGCUAAUCUUUCAAUUCAGUGCAAUAUCGGUUAACCGUUAUCUAGAUGUCGGAUCGCCGUUAGUGUCCAGAGGCUAAUCUUUCAAUUCAGUGCAAUAUCGGUUAACCGUUAUCUAGAUGUCGGAUCGCCGUUAGUGUCCAGAGGCUAAUCUUUCAAUUCAGUGCAAUAUCGGUUAACCGUUAUCUAGAUGUCGGAUCGCCGUUAGUGUCCAGAGGCUAAUCUUUCAAUUCAGUGCAAUAUCGGUUAACCGUUAUCUAGAUGUCGGAUCGCCGUUAGUGUCCAGAGGCUAAUCUUUCAAUUCAGUGCAAUAUCGGUUAACCGUUAUCUAGAUGUCGGAUCGCCGUUAGUGUCCAGAGGCUAAUCUUUCAAUUCAGUGCAAUAUCGGUUAACCGUUAUCUAGAUGUCGGAUCGCCGUUAGUGUCCAGAGGCUAAUCUUUCAAUUCAGUGCAAUAUCGGUUAACCGUUAUCUAGAUGUCGGAUCGCCGUUAGUGUCCAGAGGCUAAUCUUUCAAUUCAGUGCAAUAUCGGUUAACCGUUAUCUAGAUGUCGGAUCGCCGUUAGUGUCCAGAGGCUAAUCUUUCAAUUCAGUGCAAUAUCGGUUAACCGUUAUCUAGAUGUCGGAUCGCCGUUAGUGUCCAGAGGCUAAUCUUUCAAUUCAGUGCAAUAUCGGUUAACCGUUAUCUAGAUGUCGGAUCGCCGUUAGUGUCCAGAGGCUAAUCUUUCAAUUCAGUGCAAUAUCGGUUAACCGUUAUCUAGAUGUCGGAUCGCCGUUAGUGUCCAGAGGCUAAUCUUUCAAUUCAGUGCAAUAUCGGUUAACCGUUAUCUAGAUGUCGGAUCGCCGUUAGUGUCCAGAGGCUAAUCUUUCAAUUCAGUGCAAUAUCGGUUAACCGUUAUCUAGAUGUCGGAUCGCCGUUAGUGUCCAGAGGCUAAUCUUUCAAUUCAGUGCAAUAUCGGUUAACCGUUAUCUAGAUGUCGGAUCGCCGUUAGUGUCCAGAGGCUAAUCUUUCAAUUCAGUGCAAUAUCGGUUAACCGUUAUCUAGAUGUCGGAUCGCCGUUAGUGUCCAGAGGCUAAUCUUUCAAUUCAGUGCAAUAUCGGUUAACCGUUAUCUAGAUGUCGGAUCGCCGUUAGUGUCCAGAGGCUAAUCUUUCAAUUCAGUGCAAUAUCGGUUAACCGUUAUCUAGAUGUCGGAUCGCCGUUAGUGUCCAGAGGCUAAUCUUUCAAUUCAGUGCAAUAUCGGUUAACCGUUAUCUAGAUGUCGGAUCGCCGUUAGUGUCCAGAGGCUAAUCUUUCAAUUCAGUGCAAUAUCGGUUAACCGUUAUCUAGAUGUCGGAUCGCCGUUAGUGUCCAGAGGCUAAUCUUUCAAUUCAGUGCAAUAUCGGUUAACCGUUAUCUAGAUGUCGGAUCGCCGUUAGUGUCCAGAGGCUAAUCUUUCAAUUCAGUGCAAUAUCGGUUAACCGUUAUCUAGAUGUCGGAUCGCCGUUAGUGUCCAGAGGCUAAUCUUCAAUUCUGUCAAAUGUCAGCGAGCCGUUAUCAAGAUGUCGAAUCGUCGUUUUCUACAGUAACUGCUACAGUGAAUUAUUUUGUAAAAUAACAGUUUGACCCCAAAACUUUAUAUAACUGUACUAUGGCCCAAAACGUUAUACAUUUAGCAAAUAAGUCCAAUUUUAGAAUUUCUAAAUAAUGCUUACUAUUCCCAAAUUUUUUUGAAAUUAUGAUAUAACCCAAAAUGCUAUGAAUACUUUUCAAAUAAAUCCUUCUCCAAAAUUUCAAGCAAUACUUGUUGAUUUCAAAGUUUUCAAAACUCUUUCAAUUAAACCAUAAACUUGAAAAACAAAUAAUUUCAUAAAAUUAUUUUUCCAUUAAAUAUAAAACCUUUAAAAUGUGAAAAUAAUAAUUUAUUUAAAAUGUAUAAAAAUAAUUUGAGCUUUUAAAAACUAAAUCAUUCUUAAUUUUGUUUGUUAUCAUCAAAAUUAAUAUUAUGGAUACAUAUAUGCUAACAAAAACCAUUACCAUUAAAUCCAGCAAAGCCACCUCUGCCUUGAUUACCUCCCUAAUUUCCAUUCCAUUGUCCCCUUCUAGCACCAUAUCCUACAUAAAAAAUAUGUGAUAUUACAGACACAUUAACACAUUAAUAUCACAAAAAAUCUGAUUCUCCAUUUUAAUUUACUGACAUGCUAUGUGUUCUCCAUAUAACAAAAAAUCUCAUCAGUGUGUCCAAGCUCCUUUCUAAUAAUAAUGUUAUCCAUGCCAAGUCGGUCCUGAAUAACCUUAGUAUCGUGCUAAGUCUCUCAACCCAAAGUUGAGUGAAGCAAUACAAGGAGUUGGACGUGAUAAAGAUAGAGAUUUUUUAUUAUGAUAAUUGAUUUGGAACAAAAAAGGGGAUUCUUGAUUUCCUUUUGUAAGCAUCCGGAUCUUGUAUUGAAGUUUAUCUGUUCAUGGACCAGAAUGCAUUGCAUUUAGAAAGUGUUUGCAAUUGUAAAGUGAUAUUACUUGGAUAGUAACUUGUCGUUGCAGUGCAUUUACAGAACGAAUGAAAUUUUGGAAUCGUGAUGGAAAAUGCUGUCAGAUAUCUAUCUGAGAAUGAAAGCACUCGCUGUCAGUCUCUAUGGGAUUGCAGUAUAAAAUUUUACGUUAUUCAAUAUUUUGAAUAGAAUGACUUAUUUUGAAUGGAAUGGACUAGCUUAAAAAGUAAAAAAAAAAUUAGAGUUUAAGAAAUCACAUUAGCUUAAUUAGUUAUUAAUAAAAAAUUUUAUACGGGUACACUUAAAAACUAUUUAUUCUUUUAAAUAAUUUCACAUGAGGAUAAAAUAAGUAUUUAUAUAAAAAUUAUUAAUGGAGUUGGUAAAAUAUAAUAAGGGAUUUAAAUAUCACCACUCUACCCAUAGAGCAGCCCAAAAACGAUCUCAUGGGACCUGACUCAUUGAACGAGGACCCUUAAAAUUUGAACCUACCUUGACUCACACGAUAGGCUGAACAGGUCAGUAGCAUAUAUUUAAUAAUUAAUAUUAUGUUAUUAAUAUAGCAAGUAAAUCUUGAUGCCAUCAAGAUAAAACAUAAACAAAAAAAUAAAUUGAUAUUCAUGUGCAUGUCUAAUGCUUUAUUUAUAUAAGAUUAUAAUUCUCUUUUCAUCUGAGUUUUUAUUUGAGCAAAUACAGUUAUUGGUAGUUAACAUAUAGAAGCACAGUAGGUAUAUCUUGGCCGUGCGCAGGUACAUGUCGAAAGAUAAUGAUAAAAAAGUUCCUUCAGAAUUCAUGGGCAUGCACGCACGCUACUUGUGGAACUCCAUAACCCAUAAAUUGAAAAAAAAGCAAUCAAAUCUGACGCCACUAAAUCCAGCUCCAGUAGCCAAGGUCAUGAAUUCAUGCUUUGUUCGCUCCUUUCCUCCCGGAUAUUGAGUCAUCACCAGCACAUCACCUAGGAAAUUUAUUUUUGAAUGAGUGCUAGUCUCAGGCAGUUCUGGAAGUACUGACUCCACAACAAUUAGCUUUCCUCCUUCGUGGAUACUUUUGUGGCAAUUCUUCAAUAACUUCAAGCAAUGUUCAUCACUCCAAUCGUGCAGUAUCCACUACAAAAUUUGAAAUAUUAUUAAAUUUGUUCAAGGAUCGAACACCUAAUACCUGCAAAUUAAAUUCAAAUGAAUCUUACCUUGAUCAAAAUGGCGUCACCAUUUGGAACACUUUGGAACAUGUCACCCCCUACAUGCUUAACACCUGUACUACAUACAAUUUAGUUUCCUCUGUUAGGAUCUGGCGGUAUGGUGGCCAGAGAAUUUAUAAGAGCACUGAUAUUCGGGACAAAAAUUUAGAUAAAAUUCUGACAAAAACGACAAUAUAUCAAACCUGAUUUUCUUAACUAAAUUGCAAAUAUGGUAAAUCGAGGCUGUUUUAAUGUUUUUUGUCACUUUUUCUUUUUGCAACAUUUUAUCUUUUUACCAUUUUUUUCCCAAAUGAUAAUGUGUAUUUCUUCAUAACAAUGACAUUCAAAAAAAAAAAGAAAGAAAAAAAGAAAAAAAGAGAUUGGAAUCAAUUUUCUAAUUAACUUUCUACCUUCUCCAGGAUUUAUAUUGGGAUGGUUAAUUAAAGAAAGCUACCUAAAAGCCACUUAACUACGUCCGUAACAUUAUCAUAAAUAUAAUUGAUAGUUCAUACCAGGAUACUCAGGGGCAUGCUGUAUAACAUGAGGCAAGUCGAAAUUGAUGCCCUUAAUGUGGGGAUACUUGGAAAUAAUUGCUUUAAGGGUAUUGCCAAGGGAACCACCAACAUCAACCAAUUGCUUUAUGUGCUCGAAACCCUUGUAAGCCUCAAGGAUUUUCUGAAUGACCAAAGUGGUAUGGUUGUACAUCGCUGUGCUGUAAACUUCAUUGAACCUGGGGUCCAAUCCGAGGUACUCGAAAGCGUGCGUUCCGUGGACUCUGUCAAAUGGAACUCCUCCUUCAAUAAUAGUUUCUUUCAGUUGGGACCUACACGACCAGUUAAUCAAUCAGUCCAGAAUUAGGUUCAGAUCCAGAUCUUUUAUUCUUCUCAUCAUUUUGCGUUUGGCUUAACUUUCUUAGAUACACUGAUUAGUGGUUGAUAAAAACAAAAAUAAUAACAGGAUAUAUCUAUAUUAAAUAUAUCACGAUGUAUACAUUUCAUAAAAUCCCUUAAAGAUAAGAUGAGUAGAGGAUUCAUUUCCAUAAAAAAAUUUAUUUUAUAUCUUAACUCAAAAUUGUCGCAUACAUCUUUAUGACAACGAGCAAAAAAAUGGAAAUCAGGGUAAUAUUAUCAUACGGGUGGGUUACUAAAUUUUAGCAACGUCACAAAUUAGGAGAUAUGCAGUUUGUAGUACCUUUCCAUAUAGCUAGGCGCUGCUGUUUUUAUUUUGUUUUCCCUAAAAGAUUUUAUUUCUAAUUCUCUCCAGGCAUGUGAUCGUACCACUACAAGUGAAUCUUUUAAUUGGGCGAAAUUCUACGGAUGAAGUUAAGAAAUUUUUGGUCUUCGAGGAUUUCUGUCAGAACUGAAGCAAUUACUCAAUUAAUGCAAACAACAUUACUUAAUUAAAGCUUUUAAUAGAACAAAAUACAUUGUCUUUUUUCAUAUUUGUUACACUCACGUCCUCUAUAAUUAAAAGACAAAAAUACCCCCGAAAGAAGACAUUUUUCCUCUUAUCCUCUGUAACCGCAAGUAAUUAAAACACCACCAACAAUAUUUUACCCAUUCUUGAAUUGAUAUGACUAGAAGUAUAUUUAAUAAUGAUUAAUAAGUUUUGAGAGUGUACAUUCUACAUUUAUCGCUCACAUAUAUGAACACAUUUUUUUUUUCGAUGACCUGAAUUUAGAAAUAAGUUGAGUAUGAAGUCGAUUAUGAUUUAAUACUUGGGAGAAAUGCAUGAUUGGAUCUGAAGGCGUGGGAAGAGAAAUUGUAUUAUAAACCCAUGUAUUUUACCCUAACUUAAAAAAAGAAAAAUUCAGAGGAUUAAAAUGAUAGAGUGGACAAACCAGCUGUCGAGAAAGGCCUUGUCCUGAAUUAAGGCCAAUACAGGGCCUAAUGAGACACCAUCUUGAUUAGACACAAAGUAUUUGGAGACAUCAUUCAAACCGUAUAGUCUGUGAGAACCAUCGACAUCAUCAAGUGAGCAUUGAACAAUACCAUAGCUAGCCAGAAGCCUGAGUAUCCGGUCCAGCAUCAUGGGUGCGUCUUUGUUCUUGGUGGCGGGCAACUGAGCAGCAAUCUCUGAAGCUGAGAGCUUUGCUCCAGGACCAGCUUUGGCUAUGAUCUCGAAAAGUCCCAGCUUAAUAACUGCUUUCAUGGUCAUGUGGAGCACUGAACCCGUCACCAGUUCGCAGGCAUAUGCAAAGUUUUCGUCUCUCUGUUCAUUAGCCAUAUUUUCUCAAAUUUCCUUAUCUGUUUUCCUCAAAAACAAUGCAUUUAUAGCAUAAGUGGCUCUUCCUUUAGGCAAUUCAGGCGGUUGUCUAAGGCCCCACUAUAGAUGAAGGCCCUUAAUUUUAUUCCUAACUUAUAGUUAUUAUUAUUAAUUUAUGUUUGUUAUUAUUUUAUAAUUAUAUUUUCCAUAAACAAACUAUUAAAUCCUUAUAAAGUCCCCUUUUAACAUUAUAAUUAACAAUUAUAAUCCCAUUUAUUUCCUCCAUAUAUUUCAUCUAAAACUCUAUAAAGGCCACAUAUUUUUUUAAAUUAUUAUCCAUUAAUAUCUUUUUCCCAUAAAAAAAAGCACGAAACCUUCAUUACUUUGGUGAAAAUACUACUUUCUCUACCCUACUUUUCACUUAAGGAAAAAAAAAAACAAUUGUUUUACUAUUCAUUGAUCACUGCUACUCAAAGGCUCAAUACAUCAAAGUUGCUACUCAAAGGUUCAAUACAUCAAAGUUAAAGUUCUCAAAUUUCUAGGUUCUAUCUUUCCAUUCUCUUAUUAAUUAAUUAUGGUAUUCAGUUUUUUUUUUGUUUAAAAAUAUUAUUGUGUUCGUAGGUUGUUUUCUUGUAAUUAUCUAGUAAAAUUGUUUGCUUAAUUAUUCUUGUUUCACGAGAAAAAAGAAAUGUAUACUAAAAGAAAUAUGCAUUAGGAUACAAAAAACUUCAAAAACAAGAGAAGAAUAGAAAAGUUAGUUUAAUCUCAAAAAGGAGUUUUACUCAAUGAUUGGUCGUCCGUAUCUUUCUUUUUUGUCUCCCCAUGCUUUGAUUAGUCACUGGCGGUGGUAUUGCCGUUCUUGAAAACAUAUUCGAGUCAUUCUCCCAUGCUUCAUUCUAUGGCAUGUUUGGAAGGCUCGAAACACUCUCAGGUACGAUUAUGUUGCCUUUAAUGUGGAUACCGUUAUUUAUAGAGUGCUCCUGGAUAUUACGCUAGUCAGUGACAUGUUUGGUUUCAAGUCAUCUCAGUUGAGGGGUAUUUUUGAUACUCAUAUUGGGGAGGGAUUGCAGAUUAUCAUGCCUCCCCGUAGACCACCUUGAUUGGUUUCUUAGAUGAAACUGCGGCUGGGGGUGGUGAAGUUAAGCAUGGAUGGUUGUUCUAGGGGAAACCUAGGUAUGGCUGCUACUGGUGGUGUUUUGCGAGAUCUUAAAGGCGUGGUAUUAGCUGCCUUUGGCUCCUUUUUGGAGCACUAGUCUAUUCUUUUUCUGAAUUGACGGCUCUGUUAGAGGGUUUGGAUCUUGCUGCUUAGCUUGGUUUUUCUAAUCUUGAGGUGGUAUGUUAAAUUAUAUUUAAAUAAUAUUAACUAGCAUUUAAUUUGAUAUUUAAAUAUGAAUAUCAAUUAUUCAUGAAAUUUUAUAAUAAUAAGAAAAUUAAGUAUACUAUAAAUAAGUUAUUAGGUAGUCAUAAUAUAAUAAACAAAUGAAAAAGAAAUAAAACAAUUUAAAUAUUUAAUUAAUUUUUAUCAAAUAUUUAAAAAAAUUAUAGAAAAUCAAUUAAUUAUGGUAUUUUUAUUUUUCAUGAUUAUUUUUACCAUUUAUUAGUGAUUAUUAAACUUUGUACAAUCAUAAUGCAAUAAGUUAUUAAAUGGUUAAUUUAUAAAUUAUUAAAUAUAUAAGCAAUGAAAAUUAAAUCUCAAGAGUUAUUAGAAGUAAAACUGCCAAUUUAAUUAGAUAAUAGUAAUAAAUAAAAAAUCUUAAGUAAAUCAUAGGUAAAAAUUAAUUAAUUAAUUAAUAUUAACAAAAAUAUUUUUUUAAUCUUAUCCCAACUCAAUCCAUGUGUGAAUUAAGAUUACUAAUCUGUGAUUUUAUAAUUAAAUUCAAAUUUAGUCUCCUUUAAUCCAAUUCAAGUAAAUUUAUCAAAUAUGAAAUAAAUAUUUAAUUUUAAAAUUAGUCCAAUUCGAGAUUUAAUUCUGACAUCCAAACAUAGCCUUAGUUGCCAUAAAGGCAAUUUACAAAGAGUUGUAACUGAAAACAUUUAUAAAGCUUUUUUUUAAGAAAUUUUUUUUCAGGUUCAUAUAUAUAUAUAUAAUCUUUCAGCCAAUGAAGAGCCCGCCAAUCAGAGAAGUUAAUUUUUAAAUUUCUUUUUCGACGCCGGCACCAUCCCUGCAUCUUAUAGCUUUUUUUUUUCUUUUGAAAGACUCAAUCUUAUAGCUUUGAUUCCAGAUGAAUGAGGCUUUUCAUUCAUGUUAUUCUUUGAACGAUUGUGAUUCCGGAAGCUGCUGUCAAGACAAGAUUCCAGAGGCUGCUGAUAAGACAAAUUCAAAUUUACGUUUUUAAUAAUUAUUAUCUUUUCUAAGGAUUUAAAAAUUUAUAUGCGUAACGUACAGCUAAUGUAAUGUAAGUUUUACCUGAUGUAUGAGUUGAUGAACCAUCACGGUGAAAUCAAAAUAUAAAAAAAUAACAGAGGUCAAUAACCGCAACCAAAAGAAAAGAAAAAGUAAAACACAAAGAAAAUAAGGCCAUUGGAUUCGUUUUUUCAAUUUUUUUCCUGAAUAUUAAUACUUUAUAAUGAAGAACUUGUUAAUAUUUAUCAUAAAACUAUUGUUGAUACAAUCCUACGUCAAUUUUGUUAUAUUAUAGUACAAUUCAAAAGUUUUAUUUUAUUUAAAAAUAUAUUUAUCCUACCAUAUUUAUAAAAGAUAUUGGAAAAUAAUUAAAUUAAUUAAGAUAAAAGCUUUCUCCAAUCAUAGUUGCUCAAGUUUCAAGUGUGAAACAUUCACUAAAUUUUAUAAAAGUAUCUUCCCGCUUUUUCUACUUUAUAGCUUCUCUCUUUUUAUGAAAAAUAAAUCCUUAGCAAGUAUAGAUUUGGUUAGGGUAGAAACCUUUUUUGUAAUAGUAUUUGAUAACUUAGAAGACUGCACUUCUUCCAUCAAAGAAGUGAAAUUAAUACCUUUUAUCACUUCCAUUAUGAAAAUGAUCAGUAAACUAUGACACUAUCACUCGAAAUAAAUAAGUAGGUUAUUAAUACGAGUUUAUCUAGUUAUUUAUUUUUUAAAAAUCACUUAUCAUGUGGACUAUAUAAUGAAAAUUUAUGGAGAUAUAUGUACCCACAUUUAACUAUAUAAUUGAGAUAAGAAAUUAGAGGUCCAAGGAGUAGUAUUCAAAUCUGCAACGUCAAAGUUGAGGUUGUGACAGGCAAAAGAAAAAGGAUAAGCAUGUGUUUUUGGGAAAGGAACCCAUACAAACAAUUGCAAAUUAAGCAAAAAAUAACUUUUUUUCCUCUUUGUAUGGUAUAAUUGGAAUGUGUACAACAAACAAACAAGCCGAAAAAUAAACCAAUACAAUCUAAAAUAAUAAAUCAACCAUAAGAGACAGAUUUUUUAGAUGGAAAACUUAAAUUGAGCAAAAAAUCAUAGAACUGUAGUCCAAUAUAACCUUCCGUUAUAUUAAUAAUGGGAUUACAACACAAAUUCUUCUCCAGAUAGCAUUAGAGGCUAACAACAUCAAGAAUCUCAACAAUCUUGGCUUAUAGUAAUAAUCUAAUAUUUUUCUCUCUAACAAAUGGGUAAUCUCAAAUAAUAGCCAAUGAGAGAUAAAAUAAAAUCAAGACAGUAAGAUUGUAGAGGGUGAUACCAGAAACUUACUCUCCAAAUUUGGAAGAAAAUGGAAUUAAGUUUGCCAUACGAUCAUCCAAUCAAAGAUUAAAACCCUUACCUCCAAAUUGGAAUAAUCGGGUAUUGUAUUAUUUUUCUCUCUCAUCUUUAUACAUUUUUAAGUCUGCCGCUUCACUUAUUUACUUUUUCUUUUAUAUCCACGUGAUUUUGAAAGCCAAAUUUAAUGGUAAUUUUCAAUUAGUCAUAACGUGUUUCCUUUAACUCUUUAAACACCCAAACUAAUGGAAACUUUGAGUUGGGCCAAAAAAUGAAAUGUAUCUAACAAAUCUUCUCCACCAGAUUAUGUUGGGGACACCACCAAGCCCGUUCUCUGCUUAUAUUCUUUCAACUUCUCCUUGGGCAAUGACUUUGUCAUGAUAUCUGAACUAUUCUUCAUGAAUCUUCUCAGGCUGCAACUAUUUCUUUUCAGACACGUCUGUACCCAAAGAUAACUCACAUUCAUAUACUUGGGUUUCGAAUGGUAUGCUGAAAUCAUUACCAAGUAAAAGCACUUUUAGAUUAAAUUGGAUUAAGCUGGUUUAUAUUAUAAUGUCUUAUGUUUGGUGUAGUAUGCUGUGAAAACUUUUAAUAUACUUGCAAGCGCAUGAAUUGUGGUAACGAGGUCAAACCCACAUGGAUUGCUAUAAAUUGAAAAGUCUAAUUUUAAUCUAAAAUUAAUAUUAACCUUAACCUAGUUGAGCAAAUGGACUUUUAAGAGAAAUUAAUCUAAUUAAACUAAGAAAGAAAUUAAAACAAAGGAGAAUUCAAUAAGACAAAAAUUAUUAAGGUUUCAAAAUCCACCACUAUUUAAUUAGUAAAAUUAUCUAAUUGUUAAUUAAUCCUCAAUUUUAGAGUGACAACUCAAAAUUUUAUAAUAAUAAGUAAACAAAUUUAAAAAGCAAAUAAUAAGAAAAUUAAGUAUAUUGUAAAUAAUUUAUUAGGUAGUCGUAAUAUAAUAAACAAAGAGAAAAUAAAUAAAAAUUUAAAUAUUUAAUUAAUUUUUGUCAAAUAUUAAAAAAAUUAUAUAAAAUCAAUUAAUUAAGGAAUUUUUAUUUUCAUAAUUAUUUUUAAUAUUAUAUUAGUAAUUAUUAAAUUUUAAUCAAUCAAUAAAGCAAUAAGUUAUUAAAUGGUUAAUUUAUAAAUUACUAAAUACACAAGUACUAAAAAUUUAUUCUCAAGAGUUAUUAGAAGUAAAACUACCAAUUUAAUUUGAUCGUAGACAAUAAAUAAAAAAUCUUAAAUAAAUCACAAAUAAAAAUUAAUUAAUAAAUAAAUAUUAUUAAUUUUUUUCUUUAAUUUUAUACCAACUAAACCCAUGUGUAAAUUAGAAUUACUAAUCCUAUGAUUUUAAAAUUAAAUUCAAAUUUAGUCUCCUUUAAUCCAAUUCAAGUAAAUUUAACAAAUAUGAAAUAACUAUUUAAUCUUAAAAUUGACCCAAUUCGAUACUUAAUCCUGUCAUCCAAAUAUAGCAUUCGUUUCCUUAAAGGCAACUUACAAAGAGUUGUAACCGAAAACAUUUAUAAAGCCAUUUUUUUUUUCGGGUUCAUAUAUAUGUAUAUACUAGGAAAUAGAACCGUACUUCGUGCGGCUUUAAAAAAAGAAUUUAGUAUUAUUUUUUUUAUUACUUUACACUUGAUAAAACUGAUAAAAAAUAUGAAUUGAUUUUUUUUUAAAGAUGAUGCAGCCUUAUAAAACUAAUGUUAUUUAUGAAAGUUAAUUAUUUUUUUGUUAACUUUAAAAAUAUAUAUUAAUGUGUAUAGUUAAGUGUAAACAACCUUUUCAUCAAUAAAAAUUAUGUUCACACUAAUCAACUCUCAAUUCUUCUUGGUAUUAACAGACUCCUACAUUUUACAAAGCCUAACCCUUAUCAUCUAACUAUCUUUAUCAUUGUUUAACUCAUGAAGAAAAGAAUAUUAUAUGAAGCACACAAUACAAAAAAAUUAAAUAAGUCAAAAAAUAAAAACACAAGAACAUUUCUAAAGAGGAUGUUGGUUAAAUUAAAAAAAAAUCCAAACAUAACAAAUCUUAAAUACUUAAUAUUUAUAUAGUUUAAAGAAGCCAAAAGACACUAAAUAAAAGGUUGCAUAAUUAAAUAUGAAAUUAUGACAUUGAAAUUAGGUCCUAGUGGUAUUGGUGAUGGAAGAUGAAAGAACCUUCCUUCCUAUAUUAAUUAGUUGAUGUAUUUUAAACCACUAAAGUUUAGUUGUUGGCUUAAUAAAAUAAAUGAAUGUUUCAAAACUAUAAUUAAUUUAUUAUUAAUGGUUACAUAUUGUUGAAUUUAAAUAGAAAGAAGAAGAGACAUGUAAUCUUUUAUAAUCUACUAAUUAUUUUCUAUUUUUAAUAUUUUGUAAUGUAAUUAUUUUUUAAUCUCAACCAAUAUAUUAGAUUAUAGAGAAUAUAAAAAGAUGAGAAAUAAUAAUGGUACAAAUCUUAACUACUUAAUAUUUAUAGAGUUUGAAGAAACCAAAAGGCACUAAACAAAAGGUUACAUAAUUAAAUAUGAGAUUAUAACAGUAAAAUUAGACCCUAAUGGCAUUAUUGAGGGAAGAUGAAAGAACAUUCCUUCCUAUAUUAAUUAAUUGAUAUAUUUAAGCCCACUAAAGUUUAGUUGUUGGCUUAAUAAAAUAAAUGAAUGUUUCAAAACUAUAAUUACCAAUUUAUUAGAUAAUAGAGAAUACAAGAAGAUGAGAAAUAGUGAUGCCACAUCACCUCCUCUAGUCCCAACUUUAUAUAUAUAUAUCAAAUAUAUAUAUAUAUAUAUAUAUAGAUAUAGAUUUUUAAUAUUUUGUAAUGUAAUUAGUUUUUAAUCUCAACCAAUAUAUUAGAUAAUAGAGAAUAUAAACAGAUAAGAAAUAAUGAUGCAACAAAUCUUAAAUAUUUAAUGUUUAUGGAGUUUGAAGAAGUCAAAAUACACUAAACAAAAGAUUGAAUAAUUAAAUAUGAGAUUAUGACAUUAAAAUUAGGCUCUAAUAGCAUUGUUGAGGGAAGAUGAAGGAACCUUCCUUCAUAUAUUAAUAUUAAUUAAUUGAUGUAUUUUAAGCCACUAAAAUUUAAUUGUUGGCAUAAUAAAAUAAAUGAAUGUUUCAAGACUUAUAAUUAAUUAUUAUUAAUGGUUACAUAUUGUUGAAUUUAAAUAGAAAGAGGAAAAGACAUGUAAUCAUUUAUAAUCUAAUAAUAAUUUUCUAUUUUAAUAUUUUGUAAUGUAAUUAUUUUUUAAUUUCAACUAAUUUAUUAAAUAAUAGACAAUAUGAAAUUAUGAGAAAUGGUGAUGCCACAUCACCUCUUGUAGUCCCAACUUUAUAUAUAUGUAUAGAUAUAAUCUUUCCGCCAAUGAAGCGCCUGCCAAUCAGAGAAGUUAAUUUUUUUUUUUAAUUUCUUUUUCGAUUGUGAUUCCGGAGGCUGCUGUCAAGACAAGACUCCAGAGGCUGCUGAUAAGAAAAAAUCAAAUUUACCUUUUUAAUAAUUAUUAUCUUUUCUAAGGUUUAAAAUUUUAUAUUGGUAACGUACAGCUAACGUAAUGUAAGUUUUACCUAAUGUAUGAGUUGAUGAACCAUCACGGUGAAAUCAAAAUAUCAAAAAAUAACAGAGGUCAAUAACCGCAACCAAAAGAAAAGAAAAAGUAAAACACAAAGAAAAUAAGGCCAUUGGAUUCGUUUUUUCAAUUUUUUUCCUGAAUAUUAAUACUUUAUAAUGAAGAACUUGUUAAUAUUUAUCAUAAAACUAUUGUUGAUACAAUCCUACGUCAAUUUUGUUAUAUUAUAGUACAAUUCAAAAGUUUUAUUUUAUUUAAAAUAUAUUUAUCCAACCAUAUUUAUAAAAGAUAUUGUAAAAUAAUUAAAUUAAUUAAGAUAAAAGCUUUCUCCAAUCAUAGUUGCUCAAGUUUCAAGUGUGCUCUACAUUCAUUAAAUUUUAUAAAAGUAUCUUCCCGAUUUUUCUACUUUAUAGCUUCUCUCUUUUUAUGAAAAAUAAAUCCUUAGCAAGUAUAGAUUUGGUUAGGGUAGAAACCUUUUUUGUAAUAGUAUUUGAUAACUUAGAAGACUGCACUUCUUCCAUCAAAGAAGUGAAAUUAAUACCUUUUAUCACUUCCAUUAUGAAAAUGAUCAGUAAACUAUGACACUAUCACUCGAAAUAAACAAGUAGGUUAUUAAUACGAGUUUAUCUAGUUAUUUAUUUUUAAAAAAAUCACUUAUCAUGUGGACUAUAUAAUGAAAAUUUAUGGAGAUAUAUGUACCCACAUUUAACUAUAUAAUUGAGAUAAGAAAUUAGAGGUCCAAGGAGUAGUAUUCAAAUUUGCAACCUCAAACUUGAGGUUGUGGCAGGCAAAAGAAAAUGGAGAAGCAUGUGUUUUUGGGAAAAGAACCUGUACAAACAAUUGAAAAAAACCAUGAACCGUAGUCCAUUUUAACCUUCCGUUAUAUUAAUAAUGAGAUUACAACACAAAUUCUUCUUUAGAUAGCAUUAGAGGCAAUGGCGAAGCUAAGGGUUGGCUAACCCGGGCUACAACCCAGGUUAGCUUUUUGAAAAAAAAUAAUAAUUAAUUAUAGUUUAUGAAUUUGUCUUUAUUAAUACUUAUAAAAAAUUAAAAAUAAAUUUAAUAGCCCACCCCAAAAUACGGUGCUAGCUUCCCCACUGAUUAGAGGUUAACAACAUUAAAAAUCUCAACAAUCUUGGCUUAUAGUAAUAAUCUAAUAUUUUUCUCUCUAACAAAUGGGUAAUCUCAGCUAAUAGCCAAUGAGAGAUAAAAUAAAAAUCGAGACUAGUAAGAAUGUAGAGGGCGAUACCAGAAACUUACUCUCCAGAUUUGGGAGUAAACGGAGUUAAGUUUACCUUCCGAUCGUCCAAUCAAAGAUUAAAACCCUUACCGCCAAAUUCGAGUAAUCGGCCACUGUAUUCUUUUUCUCUCACAUCUUUUGUACAUUUUUAAGGCUGCCACUUCACUUAUUUACUUUUUCUUUUAUUGCCACGUGAUUUUGAAAGCCAAAUUUAAUGGUAAUUUUCAAUUAGUCAUAACCUAUUUCCUUUAAUUAUUUAAACAUCCAAACUAAUGGAAACUUUGAGUUGGGCCACCCAAAUGAAAUGGAUCUAACAAAUCUUCCCCACCAGAUUAUGUGAGGGACACCGCCAAGCCCGUUCUCUGCUUACAUUCUUUCAAGUUUCAACUUUUCCUUAGGCAAUGACUUUGCCAUCAUAUCCGACCUAUUCUUCAUGAAUCUUCUCAGGUUGCAAUUAUUUCUUUUCAUGCACAUCUUGUUCCCAAUGAUAUCUUACAUCAAUAGACUAGGAUUUCGAAUGGUAUGUUGAAUUCAUUGCCAAGUGAAAGCACUUUAACUAUUACAGUACACGACAUAAUUGUCUUUUUUCACAUCCAGCUUUUGUAAGAAAUUCUUCACCACAAGAUUCAAAGAAACCUUCAGUAAUUGCAUUAAAUAAAUAAAGAAAAGCAAACAAAUACUUCACUUUUGAUGAAACUUUCAAUUAUCAUUCUUUAUGACUUUAAGCUACAUUUACCAUGCAAAAUUAGACUGGACUAAUUAUUAUAAUAAGACUGGAUUAGAUUAAAUUGGAUUAAGCUGGUUUGUAAUAUAUUGUCUUAUAUUUGGUGUAGUACUCAAUUGUACUAUGUUAAAUUAUAUUUAAAUAAUAUUAAAUAGCAUUUAAGUUGAUAUUUGAAUAUGAAUAUCAAUUAUUCAUGAAAUUUUAUAAUAAUAAGUAAAUAAAUUUAAAGAGCAAUUAAUAAGAAAAUUAAGCAUAUUGUAAAUAAGUUAUUAGGUAGUCAUAAUAUAAUAAACAAAUAAAAAAGAAAUAAAAAUUUAAAAAUUUAAUUAAUUAUUAUCAAAUAUUUAAAAAAAUUAUAUAAAAUCAAUUAAUUAUGGUAUUUUAAUUACAUUUUAUACAAUCAAUAAUGCAAUAAGUUAUUAAAUGGUUAAUUUAUAAAUUAUUAAAUACACCGGUAAUGAAAAUUUAUUCUCAAGAGUUAUUGGAAGUAAAACUUACCAAUUUAAUUAGAUCAUAGAUAAUAAAUAAUAAAUCUUAAGUAAAUCAUAAAUAAAAAUUAAUUAAUUAUAUAAUAUUUAUAAAUAUUUUUUUUUUAAUUUUAUACCAACUAAACACAUGUGUAAAUUAGGAUCACUAACAUGAUGAUUUUAAAAUUAAAUUUAAAUUUAGUCUCCUUUAAUACAAUUCAAGUAAAUUUAUCAAAUAUGAAAUAAAUAUUCAAUCUUAAAAUUGAUCCAAUUCGAUACUUAAUCCUGACAUCCAAAUAUAGCCUUGGUUGCCUUUAAGGCAAUUUACAAAGAGCUGUAACCGAAAAAUUUAUAAAGCCAUUUUUUUUUUUUUGGGGUUCAUAUAUAUGUAUAUAUAUAAUCUUCCCGCCAAUCAGAGGUGUUAAUUUUUUUUUAAAAUUUCUUUUUCGAUUGUGAUUCCGGAGGCUGCUGUCAAGGCAAGACUCCAGAGGCUGCUGGUAAGUCAAAUUCAAAUUUACCUUUUUAAUAAUUAUUAUCUUUUCUAAGGUUUAAAAUUUUAUAGGGGUAACGUACAGCUAACGUAAUGUAAAGUUUACCUGAUGUAUGAGUUGAUGAACCAUCACGGUGAAAUCAAAAUAUAAAAAAAUAACAGAGGUCAAUAACCGCAACCAAAAGAAAAGAAAAAGUAAAACACAGAGAAAAUAAGGCCAUUGGAUUCGUCUUUUCAAUUUUUUUUUCUGAAUAUUAAUACGUUACAAUGAAAGAACUUGUUAAUAUUUAUCAUAAAAGAUUGUUGAUACAAUCCUACGUCAAUUUUGUUAUAUUAUAGUACAAUUCAAAAGUUUUAUUUUAUUUAAAAAUAUUUUAUCCUACCAUAUUUUUAAAAGAUAUUGUAAAAUAAUUAAAUAAAUUAAGAUAGAAGCUUCCUCCAAUCAUAGUUGUUCAAGCUUCAAGUGUUCUCUACAUUCACUAAAUUUUAUAAAAUUAUUUUCCUACUUUUUCUACUUUACAGCUUUUCUCUUUUGAUACAAAAUAAAUCCUUAGCACGCGUAGAUUUGGUUAGGCUAGAAACCUUUGUUAUAAUAGUUUUUUUAUAACCUAGAAGACUACACUUCUUCCAUCAAAGAAGUGAAAUUAAUAAACUUUAUCAUUUUAUAAUGAAAAUGAUCAGUAAACUAUAACGCUAUCACUCGAAAGAAAUAAGUAGAUUAUUAAUAUGAGUUUAUCUAGUUAUUUUGUUUUUAAAAUCACUUAUCAUGUGGACUAUAUAAUGAAAAUUUGGGGAGAUAUGUCUACCCACAUUUAACUAUAUAAUUGAGGUAAGAAAUUAGAGGUCCAAGGAGCAGUAUUCAAAUCUGCAACCUCAAAGUUGAGGUUGUGGCAAGCAAAAGAAAAAGAAGAAGCAUGUGUUUUUGGGAAAAUAACCUGUACAAACAAUUGCAAAUUUAACAAAAACUAACUUUUUCCCUUUUUGUGUGAUAAAAUCGGAAUGUGUACCAUAAAUAAAUAGGCAGAAGAUAAACAAAUACAAUCUAAAAUAAUAAAUCAACCAUAAGAGAUAUAGAUUUUUUAGGUGAAAAACCUAAAUGAAGAAAAAAAAAAAAACCACAGAACCUUAGUCCAAUAUAACCUUCCGUUAUAUUAAUAAUGGGAUUACAAGACAAAUUCUUCUUCAGAUAGCAGUAGAGGUUAAUAACAUGAAGAAUCUCAACAAUAUUGGCUUAUGGUAAUAAUCUAAUUUUUUUCUCUCUAACAAAUGGGUAAUCUCAGGUAAUAGCCAAUGAGAGAUAAAAUAAAAAUCAAGACUAGUAAGAAUGUAGAGGGCGAUACUAGAAACUUAUCCUCUAGAUUUGGGAGAAAACAGAGUUAAGUUUACCUUCCGAUCAUCCAAUCAAAAAUUAAAACCCUUACCUCCAAAUUGGAUUAAUCGGCCACUAUAUUCUUUUUCUCUCUCAUCUUUUCUACAUUUUUAAGGCUGCCGCUUCACUUAUUUACUUUUUCUUUUAUAUCCACGUGAUUUUGAAAGCCAAAUUUAAUAGUAAUUUUCAAUUAGUCAUAACCUUUUUUCUUCAAUUAUUUAAACAUCCAAACUAAUGGGAACUUUGAGUUGGGCCACCCUAAUGAAAUGGAUCUAACAAAUCUUCCCCACCAAAUUAUGUGGGGGACACAACCAAGCCUAUUCUCUCCUUACAUUCUUUCAACUUCUCCUUAGACAACGACUUUAUCAUCAUAUCCGACCUAUUCUUCAUGAAUCUUCUCAGGCUACAACUAUUUCUUUUCAAGCAGGUCUUGUAUCCAAUAAUACUCACAUCAAUAUGCUUGGAUUUCGAAUGGUGUGUUGAAUUCGUUUCCAAGCGAAAGCACUGUGAUUAUCACAAUACAUGCCAUAGCUAUCUUAUUUAACAUCUUGCUCUUGUAAGAAAUUCUUCACCAAGGUUUUAAAGAAACCUUCUGUGAUUGCAAUAUAUAUAUAUAUUUUGGUGGAGAAAACAAUACGAAAUUUGAAAUCCUCUGAGUAUACUCCCCUGUAAAGGUAAGCAAAUAUCUUGAUGAGAAUUUUCUAGAAUCAACAUCUCUUGCCCUAUCUGCAAUACACUUGUAGCACAAGUUGACACCAUUAAAAUCUAAACAUGCCUUGGAAAUGACUUUGAGGUAUCUGGGAAUCCACUUUAUUGCUGUCUAGUGUCUUUGCCCAAAUUAUAAAGAGACUAGCUGAGUACACCCAUUGCAUGAGCAAUAUUUGAUACAAGCCAUGGCGUACAUUAGCCUGCCAAGUGCUGAAGCAUAAAAAACUCCUUUCAUCUCUUACCUCUCUUUCUCACUUGUAGGACAAUGCUCGGAACUAAGCUUAAAAUGACCCGUAAGUUGAGAACAAAUAUAUUUUUCCUUGUUUAUUUUAAUUUUUUCAAGAACACUUUCAAUUUAUGCUUCUUGAGAUAACCAUAACUUGCUAAUUUUUAUGUCGUGGGAAAUCAUCAUGCCAAGAAUUUAUUUGCCGGUCCUUGGUAUUUUAUUUAAAUAACUUGCUAAAUUUUUUCUUUAGAUUAUCAAUCUUACUAGCAUUGUGGUCAACAAUCAACAUAUCAUCUAUAUAAAGCAAAAGAAUGAUAAAAUUAUUAUCACCAAUCUUCUUUACAAAAAGACAAUAGUCAGACAUAAUCUUGCUAAAACUGUGAUUCUUUAUAAAAGAAUCAAACAUUUUGUACCAUAGUCUUGGUGCUAUUUCAGUCCAUACAAACUUUUCUUCAACUUGUGUACAAUUUCUUUGUUGCCUUUGACAUUGAAUCCUUCAGGUUGCUCCAUUUAUAUUUCCUCCUUUAAGUCGCGAAGAAAGAAACUCGAUUACCUCAUUCUCAUAUCCUAGAGACUUUCUAUCCAUCAACAUCCAAGAUUUAUCCAUAUUUAGACUAUUAAAUUUCCUGCAAAUGCAUCACAUUUCAUUCAUUCAUUUUAUUAAUAUUGGAGUUUGAUAUUGUUUCCAACCAUAAGAACAAUAUUAAAAUUACAAAAUCAACAAAAAAAACAGUUAAAAUAUAAUAAAAAAAUAACACUUAACAGCAAGAGAAAACCUAUAUCUUCAUCAUGACUAAUUAUAGCAGUAAUAUUACAAGCCAUAUACCAUAAAUCAUGAAAAGAGCAAAUAAUAUAAUUUUGAAAAAAUAGAGAAAUAGAAAAAAAAAAAAAAACAAAACAAAAGUACCUUUUGUUAUUGCUUCAAGAAUCACGGAACUAGUAACAACUUAAGAGACUAAGUCGCGACUAAAAAUAGAGAAGAAUAGAAGCAAGACUCGUUUUUUGAUUUCUACUAAAAAAGACAAAAUGAAUUAAAUAAAACUUGUCCACGACAAUAAACUAGCUAGCUAUUGUAAUGAUUUAAACAAUCCAUAAAUAAAGUAUUAAAUUAAUAUGCAAAUGUCACAUGUAGUAAAACAACAUAUACAGUAUUAUGAAAUUUCAACAGCGAAAUUAGGUGUUGAAACCGUUAAAUAAAAUCCUUUUUCCAUUAGAGAUCUAAAUUUUGAGAAUUUUGGUUUAGCUUACUUUAGUCAAACUCAAUCACUCUGUAGAGUGACUGAUGGGCAUAAUUUAUAUACAUAUUGUACCAUUAAUUAUAUAAUUAUUAGUUUUUUUUAUUUUUUUAUUUUUAAUUAAUUAAAUUAUUUUAUUGAAUAGGAAAUUAAUUGAAGAUUAAGGAUAAAAAGUGCAUGUGGAAGUUCAAAUUGGGAAGGAAUAAAAAUUAAAUUGAAAGACAAAAAUGCAGCAAAAAAUUAACGGAAGUCAAGAAGACCAAAAUUGGAAUUCAAUCUCUUCAAAUAAUGAACGGUGGGCAUGCAGUUGGAAAGCAAAGAUUUGGCAAUUUGGAAUGCAUGUGCAGGGUAUUAAAAAAAAGAAAUUAUUAAUUGGCCUUUUGCUUUUAAGUUAAACGUGUGGCUAGCUUUCAAACCUUAAUAAGGAAACAAUUUAAAAAGGGUUUGGUGAGUGGGCUUUGUUAACUCGGUGGGUGGCUAAGCAUUAUAAAAAGCCGAAUUUGGCUUUUGAAAGAGCAGCCACCAGAGGAGAAGCCGCAAGAAAGAGAAGAAAAAGAGCAGCAGCAGAUCAAAUUUCCCAUCGCUGGUUUUAUUUUAUUCGUUACUCCCAAUUCAAGUAUGUCUAACUAAUUUUCUUAUACUGAGAUUAAGGAUGAAGCCUUAUUCAAUGAAAUAAUUAUCUUUUAAUCAAUUCCCUAUAUAUGUUCUUUGAUGAUUAUGGUUUUUGUUUCAUAUGAUUAGUUGAAUGUUAUUAAAUUCUUUUCACCAAUUCUGUCAUGCGUUAUUGAUUGUUAAGAUUAAUAUUUGACUAAAUCUAUUCUUGGAUCUAUGAAGUCUAUACAUGAUUAUCUUUGAUUUUGUGUCUUUCAUUAAAUUAUUUACAUAGAGUGCUUAGGAAACUUUGACUCUUUUUUAUUCAAUAUGUUUACAUGGGAUGCUUAGAUAUCAUACUAUUAAGCAGAAAAGAACCUACAUUAGAUUUAAUUACUUGGGCUUAAUUGUUAUAUCUAUGAGAUGACAUAAAUUGAUUUUGAGCUGUCACUCUAAAAUUAGGGAUUAAUUAAUAAUUAGAUAAUUACUAGUUGAAUAGUGAUGGAUUCUGAAACCUUGAUAAUUUUUUUCUUAUUGAAUUCUUAUUUGCUUUAAUUGUUUUCUAAGUUUAAUACUCAAUUUGUUCAACUAGGUUAGAAUUAAUAUUAAUUUUAGAUUUAAAUUAGACUUUUCAAUUUAUAACAAUUCCUGUGGGUUUGACCUUGUUACCACUAUUCAAUUUCUAGAUUCGUGUGCUUGCGAGUAUAUUAAAAUUUUUCACAACAUGUUUUUGGCACUGUUGCCGGGGAUUGUGCCAGAAAGUCAGUUUAAUCUAGGUUGAUUUGAUUCUUCCACUAGUUAUAAUUUAUGUUGUCUUUUUUUUUAUAUAUAAAAACAAUGUAAUUUUUUAUUAUUAUUUGUCUUUAAAUUCAUUGUUUGGUUGUUUUAUUUCUUUUAUUUUAAAUUUCAUUUAUUUUUAUUAUUUUUGUUUUAUUUUUCUUUGUCUAGUUAGUUUAUGAGUGUUUGGGAACGCGAUUCAAUAAAUCGUUUGGUCAAAAAGGAGUCCAAGGUUGAGAGUAAUCAAGCUAGUUCUUCUCAAGUGAUGGAUGACCUAAAUAGAAUAUUGCCAAUACUACCACCAGUGCAAGCAGAGAAAACCCUUAGAGAAUAUAUUUCACCACUUGCAGCCAACCAACCAUCUUGUAUUGUGUUGCCACAAACUACAACAACACACUUUGAUUUUAAGCCCUGUGUCAUUCAACUUUUACCAUCUUUCCAUGGGUUAGAGAGAGAAGAUCCAUAUUUGUACAUUAAGGAAUUUCUUGACAUAUGCUCUACAUUUCGUUUUCAAAAUUUUAAUGAUGAGUCAAUUAGGCUUCGUAUGUUCCCUUUCUCAUUAAAAGACAAAGCGAAAGCUUGGUUGAAUUCACUUCUUGCUGGGUCUAUUACUACAUAGGAUGAAUUGAGUAACAAGUUCCUCACCAAGUUUUUCCCUAUGUCUAAAACAAAUGCCCUUAGGAGAGAGAUAAGUGAUUUUUAUCAAAGAGAGGGUGAACAAUUGUACGAGUGUUGGGAAAGAUUCAAUUAUUUACUCCUCAAGUGUCCCCACUAUGGUUUUGAGAAAUGGAGACUUAUACAAUUCUUUUAUAAUUGUUUAAUCAUGUCAAAUCGUCAUAUGGUAGAGUUUAUGAAUGGUGUAAGAUUUUUGAACCUACAUGAAAGGGCUGCAUGGAAUUUCUUUACUUCACUUUUUGAGAAUUCUCAAUAGUGAGAUUUUUCAAAUUAAAGAGAAAAAUCAUCUCAACUUUUUAGAAAGGGUCUUUAUGAAGUUUAGGAUGAUUUUGAUGUGAAAGCCACUCUAGCUACUCUUUCUAGGAAAGUAGAUGCCUUAGCUAUGAACCAAUCCGUGAAUUAUCAUCCUAGUGUAGCAAAUGAGGUUUGUGCUCUUUUUUUCUAACUUGUCUCAUACAGCGCAUAAUUUUCCAUCAUUACCGGCCUAUCAAGAGGCCUAUUCUGAGUAGGUACAUGUCCUGCAAUCAUAUGAGAAAACCUCCAAUAGUUCAUAUUCACCAUAAUUCUAAUUGGAGGAAUCACCCUAAUUUUUCUUGGAAACAAAAUCAACCUUUGUCAAACCAAGGAGGACAACAAUUUAGCAUGCCCAAUCAACAAUUUGUCCCUCCUCCCUCCUACCCAAGUAUAUCCCCAUGCCCAACAACCUGUCUCAAUUUGCUGCACCCCAACAAAGAAAACCUUCUUUAUAGGGUACACUUCAAACAUUCAUUCAGUCAACCCAACAAGCCUUUCAGUCAAACACGCAAGCUAUUCUAAAUCUUGAACAUCAAUUGGGUCAAUUAGCAACUAUUGUGGCUGAGAGAGAAAAAGGAAAAUUCCCAAGUCAAUUAGUUCCAAAUCCUAAAGGAGUGCAUGAAGUUGGAUCGAGUUCAAGCCAUCAGCAUGAAGAAGCAAAAUCUAUUAUGACCUUGAGAAUAGGAAAGUUAUUUGACAAUAAGGUAGAGGUUCGAACAAGAAAGACAUCUGAACCUGGUUCUUCAGAUUCAUUUUCAUCACAAGACUCAUCGCCAAAUGAUCAAGAAUAAACUGGCCCACCAGCUUACAUUCCUAAGGCUCAUUUUCCUUAAAGGUUAGCAAAGGUAAAGAAAGGGACUUCAACAUGUGAGAUUAUGGAAAUCUUCAAGCAGGUAAGUAUAAACAUCCAUUUACUUGAUGGUAUUAAGCAAGUUCCUUCCUAUGGCAAGUUUUUUAUGGAUUUAUGCACUAACAUGUUACCAAAAAUGCAUUUUUAACUGAACAAACUAGCAAUUUACUUCAAUAUAAAAUGCCACCAAAAUUUAAGGAUCCAGAUUCUCCUAUUAUCUCAUGUGUUAUAGGGAACCAAUUGUUUGAUAAAAUAUUAUUGGAUUUAGGCAGUAGUGUUAAUUUCUUGCCUCAUUUUGUUUACAGGCAGCUUGGAUUAGGUGAAUUAAAGCCAACUUCCAUUAUUUUGCAGCUUACUGAUAGGUCAAUAAAAAUGCCUCGUGGUAUUAUAGAGGAUGUGUUGAUACAUAUUGACAAACUUUAUUAUCCUAUUGAUUUUAUUGUUAUUAAUACUCUGGAUGUACAUGAUCCUAAGAAACACACCCUAGUUAUUCUAGGUCAUCAUUUCUUAGCUACAAUUAAUGCUCAUAUUAGUUGCAGGACCGGAAACAUGCAAUUGUCUUUUGGUAACAUAACCAUGGAAUUAAAUAUUUUUAAUGUUCCCAAGCAGGCAUAAGACGAUGAUGAAGUCGUUGAAGUAGAUAUGAUAGAAGCAUCAAUUGAUGACUAAUUUAUUUUUAACCACUGUGACAAUCCAUUAACACCAUGCACAGCUAACUCUAAUUUAUCUUUUGAUGUUGACAGUGGUACUGAAGAAGUUAAUGCUUUACUUGAUUCAACUCUGAUCAUAAAUCUAAUGAAGUGGAAAGAAAAGAUUGAGCCACUUUCUCCUGAAGAGAAAAUUAAACCAUUCAAGUUGGAGCUACUUCUUAAAGAAUAGUCACAUUCUGACACGAAAAAGGUGGUAAGAUCUAAAGUGCUUUAAUUAUUAGAUUUUUAUACUGCUUCAGAUAACUCUCAGGUAAGCUUGGAACAGAAGAGAUCAACGCAGUGCGAUACUGAGGAGUUUCAUUACCAUCAUCCUUUUAUAGAUAAAAUGCUCCAGUGCUUAGUCAAUUAUAUUUUCUGGUAUUUUCUGUAUAAUUACUUUGAUUUUCACCAAAUUCUUAUUGAUCUUGGUUGAUUUGUUGUUUACAUUAAUUAAUUAGUUUAGUAGGAUUUUAUUUAUUUUUCUUUUUUUAUUAUUUAUAUUUCUUCAAAUGUUUUCUUUUUAGUUGUCAUUUUCUUUUAAGUGUGUUCUCUCCAACAUUUUCUUCUAUUAUUUACGUUUUUUAAUCUUUUUGCAUGCAUGUCUUUUAUUUAUGAAUCAUUGAGGACAAUGUUCCGAAUAAGUUUGGGGGUGAGAAUAGUGUGUGUUUUGUUUGUUAUUAAAAAAACCAAAAAAAAUUCAAAAAUUAAAAAAAAAAAUUCUUUUUGUUUUUAUGUGAAAAGCCAAUGAUAAGAAUUUGAUUGACAAUGAAUAUGAUUCUUAGAAAAAGUUGAAUAUUGUCUUAGUUUAUACUUGGUUUUUGUGUUAAUUCCUCUUGAUUGAGAUUCUAUAAACACCAUAAGCACUAACAUCAAUUCUUUCAUAAUUUUAACUUGAAAUUUGAUAUUGACGCAGCCUAAGUUGAUAAUUUUAGAGAGAGUAAAUGACUAUUUGUCUCGAUUCUUAUCUCCAUAGUACAAAAUAGUAUACACAGACGCCUGGUUGUUGAUAUUGAAGAUUUUGGAAAUGGAUUUGAUUGAAUUGAUUUCACACACACACUACAAGAAUUAAAAGAGAGAUAGGAUUAACUGUUGAAUUAAAGUUAGAACUUUGCCAAUAUUUGAAAUUUUCUUUGAGCUAUAUAAUUUAUGCAAUCUUUGAGGCUAUCUUCAUGUUUUGUUUAAAGUUUAUUGUUCUUUUCAUUUUAUUUUAAUUUUUUUAAAAAAAUAAUGUUUGUGAGUAUCAUCACUAAAGCUCUCACGAGACUAUAACUCAUCCACUAGGACUGCCUAAGGGUUUAAAGGCUUAUUACAUACACUAAAUGCAAUCGCGAUUACCUGUGAAAGUGGUUUAGUUAGGAUUUACUUUUUAUUUUCGUUACUUUUAUUUUUAUUUUUUUGUUUUAUGUUUUGCUCGAGAACUAGCAAAAUCUAAGUUUGGGGGUAUUUGAUGGGCAUAAUUUAUAUACAUAUUGUACCAUUAAUUAUAUAAUUAUUAGUUUUUUUUAUUUUUUUAUUUUUAAUUAAUUAAAUUAUUUUGUUGAAUAGGAAAUUAAUUGAAGAUCAAAGAUAAAAAAGGUAAUGAGGAAGUUCAAAUUGGGAAGGAAUAAAGAUUAAAUUGAAAGAUAAAAAUGCAGCUAAGAAUUAAUGAAAGUCAAAAAGACCAAAAUUGGAAUUCAAUCUCUUCAAAUAAUGAAUGGUGGGUGUGCAGUUGGACAGCAAAGAUUUGGUAAUUUGGAAUGCAUGUGCAGGGCAUUAAAAGAAGAAAUUAUUAAUUGGCCUUUUGCUUUUAAGUUAACGUGUGGCUAGCUUUCAAACCUUAAUAAGGAAACAAUUUAAAAAGGGCUUGGUGAGUGGGCUUUGUUAGGUCGGUGGGUGGCUAAGCAUUAUAAAAAGCCGACUUUGGCUUUUGAAAGAGCAGCCACCAGAGGAGAAGCCGCAAGACAGGAAGAAGAAAAGGAGUAGCAGCAAAUCAAUUUUUCCAUAACUGGUUUUAUUUUAUUUGUUACUCCCAGUGUAAGUAUGUGUAGCUAAUUUUCUUAUACUAAUGUUAAAGAUGAAGCCCUAUCCAAUGAAAUAAUUAUCUUUUAAUUAAUUCCAUAUCUAUGUUCUUUGAUGAUUAUGGUUUUUGUUUCACAUGAUUAGUUGGAUGUUAGUAAAUUCUUUUCACCAAUUCUGUCAUGCAUUAUUGAUUAAUAUUUGACUAAAUCUAUGCUUGGAUCAAUGAAGUCUAUACAUGAUUAUCUUUGAUUCUGUGUCUUUCACUAAAUUUUUACACAGAGUGCUUAGGAAACUUUGACUCUUUGUUAUUCAAUAUGUUUACAUGGGAUGCUUAGAUAUCAUACUACUAAACAGAAAAAGAACCUACAUUAGAUUUAAUUACUUGGGCUUAAUUGUUAUAUUUAUGAGAUGACAUAGAUUGAUUUCAAGUUGUCACUCUAAAAUUGAGGAUUAAUUAAUAAUUAGAUAAUUACUAGUUGAAUCGUGGUGGAUUUUGAAGUCUUGGUAAUUUUUCUCUUAUUAAAUUCUCAUUUGCUUUAAUUGUUUCCUUAGUUUAAUUAGUUUUAUCAUCGACAUCAUCGAGUGAGCAUUCAACAAUACCAUAGCUAGCCAGAAGCCCGAGUAUCCGGUCCAGCAUCGUGGGUGCGUCUUUGUUCUUGGUGGCAGGCAACUGAGCGGCAAUCUCUGACGCUGAGAGCUUUGCUCCAGGACCAGCUUUGGCUAUGAUCUCCAAAAGUCCCAGCUUAAUUACUGCUUUCAUGGUCAUGUGGAGCACUGAACCCGUCAUCACUUCACAGGCAUAUGCAAAGUUUUCGUCUCUCGCUUCAUUAGCCAUAUUUUCUUGAAUUUCCUUAUCUGUUUUCCUCAGAAACAAUGCAUUUAUAGUGGAGUGAAGAGUUACUGUGUGUCCAAGAUUUUAGGUUGUAAAAUCUGACCCCGAAGUUUUCGAUAGUUCAAGUUACUGCUGUACCGUACAUCCGCCUUGGCCGUACAGCAGGUUCAGAAGAAGUGAAUCAACUUGUUAUGCCUUUUAAUGCAAAUGUGAAGACUAUGAUUAACAAUCUUAAUGCCAAUCUUCCUGGUGCAAGAUUCACCUUCAUUGACAUUGCCCGCAUGUUUGAAGAUCUCCUCACCAAUUAUAGAUCAUACGGUAUGCAAUUUUCCCACUAAACAUAUCGUAUUGUAGUUAGAUAUGAUGUGUGCUGUCUAGCCUAAAAUCUUUUAUUUUAAAAUGUGC
Molecule: long non-coding RNA, 43689 nt
Filed under: Citrus sinensis (sweet orange)
Lineage: Eukaryota; Viridiplantae; Streptophyta; Magnoliopsida; Sapindales; Rutaceae
Description: long non-coding RNA (CSIN_LNC002131)
Source: RNAcentral